UAUUAAAACACAUGUUUUAGACAUUUUCGAAAUGUUUUGAAAAAACAUUAAGUAAACUUAGUCCACUAAUGCAAGUCACCGAAAAUUUUUUCCUUACUGAUUAGUUUAAAAAACUUUUAUUACAAAAGUCAUCAAUGCAGAUUCUACUCUGACUUUGUAUUAAGUUCAGCCAAAUUUUGUUAUGUGAGAUCAUCCUUUAGGUUAUUUCAGCUUGUGAACCGCCAUACACUACAGCUUUCUGCCUCCACUAAACACUGUGAUGGAGGUGGGAAUGGAGGCCUUGGAGGGAAAGCAGAAGGCAUGGAUUUGGCUUCUGGUCUAUCUGAUUUUGCUUCAAGAUUCAGAGAUGUAUAGGUUUAUCACGCUCUCGCUAAACUGAAUGACUUCAACCCUUGGUGUCCCGUUUCCUUGUUUUUUCAUGUUCCUUGAAGUCUUGCCUUGCUGUCUUCACCCCUGAAGAAGCAGUCACCUCCUCCAUCAAGCGACUGGCUUCAGGAGAGAAACACACACCUUGGGUCACCCUGUGAGGGACUGAGGCGUUCUCAGACCGUUUCUGUGGCCACGUGUGCUCCACACUUCUUGUUCCUUCUUGGGAGGGAAUUCUUAAGGUUGUCUGCCUUCUCUGGAUGCUGCAGAGCCAGGCCGGUGCGGGCAGCCUCCCUUUUGCUUUCUCCAGGUCCCAUUGAAUGCUGAAGUUUGCAUACUUUCUCUCAAUCCCGCUCACUAGCCAUCUGCGAAGACUCACCAACCUUGGGUGGGGGUCGGGUGCGCACCCACAGCACCGGCCAGGGGGUGGGGGUGUGGGGAGUGAGAUGUGUGCAGCACUGGGGUGUCCGUGGGCCGUCUGGGGAGAUCCGCAGGCAAGCUGUCCCCAGCAGCUUGUGGGUGGGCUUCCUGAUGGAGUCCGCAAAGUGGCUGGUAGAAUUGUCCUUUUGAAGCCCUCCGAGUGCCCGGGCUGCCUUCUCCCAGGCCCCUCCACCCCCCCACCGGUCGUGCAGCACACCCGGCGUUCUGGAUGCGGGGAGAGAGAGAAGUGGGCAGGCUGCCCUACAGUUGGGGAAGCCAGACGCUCACGCCCACGCUCUCACCUCCCCCUUGGGGAGAAAUCGCUGGCGAAAGGGGCUCUGUUGGCUCUGGGCUGUGCGCUGGGGGAGGAGUCACAGGAAAAGUGACACUGGUCCUCUUCAUUGCGUCCAAUCUCAGGUUUUGUUUUGCUCCCACAGUGUGCUGGAAGUUCGCGGGUCUCUGGGAUUCCCACAAAGGUGCUCUUAUCCGCGGAUGAUGGUCAACAUCAGUGUUCGUUGGGGUAAGGCGGUAGAAAACUCCUACUCCGCCAUUUUGAUGGCACCGCUCUUCUUAAAUGACAUUUUAGUAUCACCUGUUGCUUUCCUUUGUCUGUGAUUUGUCUGAUCUAAUUCACAUGAACGCUCAGGAGAACAGUGGCUGGGUUUUGUUCUGUCUUGCUUUCACUUUAAUCAUAAACAAGCAUCUUUGGGGCCCAUUUGGCUACACGACCAAGGAAAGUCACCUCAAAUUUUCAGCCUGUCACUGUCGUCUACACCAAGGCCCCUCCCUGAACUAGAGAAACAUGGAGCAGUGGAAACGAGGGGCACGGCCACGCCUGCAGCCAGGGGCCUCCACCUUCUAGUAGAAAGAGUCUUGGGAGGGGCCUCUGUGGGGCGGCCCCUCUUUUCCAGGUGGCAGCCCCUGCGGCCCAAACUCCCUCCGUCAACCGUCCCUGCCGAAGAGGCCCCCAGAGCCGGUGUUCUGCCCCAGCUGAGCUCUCUCUCAACAAGUACUUCCAAAGGGCUCCACUAAGGGAAGAAAGUAAUCCCCACAAGUUCAAAAUGGAAAAGGACCAGCUUCUUUCAAAUCUCGACUCUUGUUGACUUAGAUAUUAGAGUGGACUGCAACAUAAAUAGAAAUUUGGAGUGUUGUUCUUGUUGUUGUUGUUUUGCUGAGGAAGAUUCGCCCUGAGCUAACACCUGUGCCGAUCUUCCUUCACUUUAUACGUGGGUCGCUCCCGCAGCAUGGCUGACAAGUGGUGUACCUCCACACCCAGGAGCCCAACCAGCGAACCCGGGCUGCAGGAGCAGAGUGUGCCAAUCUAACCACUAGGCCACAGGGCCCUCAUCCUGAAGUGGCUUUUUUUGGAGAAAGUGACUUGUUGAAGGGCAUAUACUUAUUUAAUGACAACUUAUAUUUAUAUAUAUGCAAGUAUAUAUGCAUAAUUUUAUAUUAAAUAUACAAAUAUAAAAUUGUUUUCUAUAUAUUAUAUAAAUGUAAUUUUAUAUAUACAUAUAGACAAUCAUAUAUAAAUAUAUAAUAUAUAAAAAUAUAUAUUUAUAUAUAUAUGUAUGUGUGUAUCUAUAAAAAAUAUUUAUAAUUCCCAACCAGUGUGCCCACAACACCAGGCUGCCUUUAUGGAGAAAAAGCGUGGAUUCUUCUGCGCCUUGGUACAACUUGACAGACGUAGCAGUCUGUCUCUGAGGAACUUAAAUGAGACACGGACAAUGUAAAUGAGGUCCCAGGGAAACCACUACCCUAACUUCUGACUUCACAAACUAUUUUUGCCUGUUUUUCAACUUAGGCUGAAGGUUUCAAGACACAUCUCAGGCAGCCCUACAGGAUCAGGCAAAGCAGCUAUGCCCAGCUCCGUAACGUAUUUUUGUUACUGGCUCUCCUUCCUUCCUUGCUUCACAUCCCUGUCCUUCCCUUCUGCUCCUGGUUCAUACUCUCCGCCAAAGAUAACCCAGAAAGAGCAACAUUCUACUCACUUUGUGGGAGGAGCCCAUGGAUUUCAGCAUCUCGGUGAUGUGGGGACUUUCCAGAUGCAGACACGUAGUGCCCAAGGCAACAACAGCAACAGUACCAUGUUGGUGGCUAGCCUCUGGUGGCCCACCUCUGGACCAACCUACCUCCACACUCAUGGCUGUGGAGUCCACCAGCCUCAAGUGAUGUGUCUAAGUGUUUGCUCUUCUAGCAAAAGGCAAAUGUGACUGGGAUGGUAGUCCAGUGUGAGCGAGCAUCCCUGGGGAUCCUUCGGCAUAUUGGGUUGCAAGUCCCAGCGUGCCUGACUCAGAAGACAUGCAAAAACAUUUGCUGAAUGAAUGAUAAGGGAAACACUCGAUUGCCUGCUAAUUUGGGCAGUUGAGGAUCCAGAGUUGUAUGUAUGCUUGCCAAUGAAAGGGAAAUAUUAUUUUUACCCCAACCUGUGAAUAUUGUUUAUAUCUCUUGUAAGUGUUCCCCAGGUAAAACUCAAAUAUUAGUUCCUUCCUUAUUUAGCCCCAAAAUAUCUAGCAUCAUCUUGGAGUAUGUGCCUCCCGACCGCCCUGGUAUACACAUAUACUCUUUGUUAACUAAGUAUAGUUUCUCCAGAGAAACAGAACCAAUAAGAUAUACGCAGAUAUAUAGAAAGAUAUUUAUUAUGAGAGAUUGGCUCGCGAGAUUAUGGAGUCUGAGAAGUCCCAUGAUCUACCAUUUGCAAGCUGGAGACUCAGGAAAGACGAUGGUGUGGAUCCAGUUCAAACUCAAGAGCACUGACGUCUGAGGGCAGGAGACCAUGGACGUCCCAGCUCACGCAGAGAGAGCAAUUGGCCCUUUCUCUGCCUUUUUGUUCUCGUCAGGCCCUCAGUGAAUGGAAUGAUGCCCACCCUGUUGGUGAGGGCCAUCUUCUACACGUCUCCCGAUUCAAAUGCUAAGCUCUUCUACGAAUACCUUUACAGACACACCCAGAUAUAAUGUUUUACCAG
RNAcentral lists this long non-coding RNA (3752 nucleotides) under Equus caballus (horse). RNAcentral's name for it is "lncRNA (ENSECAG00000048738.1)". The record is from RNAcentral. Lineage: Eukaryota; Metazoa; Chordata; Mammalia; Perissodactyla; Equidae.